RNAcentral lists this ribosomal RNA (253 nucleotides) under uncultured bacterium. Its description in RNAcentral is "partial 16S ribosomal RNA". It matches the Rfam family "Bacterial small subunit ribosomal RNA", at positions 524 to 776 of the family's 1533-position model. The record is from RNAcentral.
UACGUAGGGGGCAAGCGUUGUCCGGAAUCAUUGGGCGUAAAGCGCGUGUAGGCGGCUCGGUAAGUCUGCUGUGAAAGUCCAGGGCUCAACCCUGGGAUGCCGGUGGAUACUGUCGAGCUCGAGUCCGGAAGAGGCGAGUGGAAUUCCUGGUGUAGCGGUGAAAUGCGUAGAUAUCAGGAGGAAUACCGGUGGCGAAAGCGACUCUCUGGACGGCAACUGACGCUGAGGCACGAAAGCGUGGGGAGCAAACAGG